UGGGGAAUAUUGCACAAUGGGCGCAAGCCUGAUGCAGCCAUGCCGCGUGUAUGAAGAAGGCCUUCGGGUUGUAAAGUACUUUCAGCGGGGAGGAAGGUGUUGAGGCUAAUAACCUCAGCAAUUGACGUUACCCGCAGAAGAAGCACCGGCUAACUCCGUGCCAGCAGCCGCGGUAAUACGGAGGGUGCAAGCGUUAAUCGGAAUUACUGGGCGUAAAGCGCACGCAGGCGGUCUGUCAAGUCGGAUGUGAAAUCCCCGGGCUCAACCUGGGAACUGCAUUUGAAACUGGCAGGCUAGAGUCUUGUAGAGGGGGGUAGAAUUCCAGGUGUAGCGGUGAAAUGCGUAGAGAUCUGGAGGAAUACCGGUGGCGAAGGCGGCCCCCUGGACAAAGACUGACGCUCAGGUGCGAAAGCGUGGGGAGCAAACA
This 427-nucleotide ribosomal RNA is filed under the name uncultured bacterium. RNAcentral describes it as "partial 16S ribosomal RNA". It matches the Rfam family "Bacterial small subunit ribosomal RNA", at positions 355 to 774 of the family's 1533-position model. The record is from RNAcentral.